Molecule: ribosomal RNA, 497 nt
Filed under: uncultured bacterium
Lineage: Bacteria
Description: partial 16S ribosomal RNA
Rfam family: Bacterial small subunit ribosomal RNA
Source: RNAcentral
GAUGAACGCUGGCGGCGUGCCUAAUACAUGCAAGUCGAGCGAACGGACGAGAAGCUUGCUUCUCUGAUGUCAGCGGCGGGCGGGUGAGUAACACGUGGAUAACCUACCUAUAAGACUAGGAUAACUUCGGGAAACCGGAGCUAAUACCGGAUGAUAUUUUGAACCGCAUGGUUCAAAAGUGAAAGACGGUCUUGCUGUCACUUAUAGAUGGAUCCGCGCUGCAUUAGCUAGUCGGUAAGGUAACGGCUUACCAAGGCAACGAUGCAUAGCCGACCUGAGAGGGUGAUCGGCCACACUGGAACUGAGACACGGUCCAGACUCCUACGGGAGGCAGCAGUAGGGAAUCUUCCGCAAUGGGCGAAAGCCUGACGGAGCAACGCCGCGUGAGUGAUGAAGGUCUUCGGAUCGUAAAACUCUGUUAUUAGGGAAGAACAUAUGUGUAAGUAACUGUGCACAUCUUGACGGUACCUAAUCAGAAAGCCACGGCUAACUACGUG